RNAcentral lists this long non-coding RNA (1055 nucleotides) under Scleropages formosus (Asian bonytongue). Its description in RNAcentral is "lncRNA (ENSSFOG00015024391.1)". Lineage: Eukaryota; Metazoa; Chordata; Actinopteri; Osteoglossiformes; Osteoglossidae. The record is from RNAcentral.
UCAACACAUAAAACAAACCCAGAAAUGCCUUGUGCAGAAAGAUGAUAUUUACCUUUAUUACACGUCUUCGGUGAAAUCAAUGUAGCUCGUGUGACACGAACGCUUCCACUUGUUGUGUUUUCACUCUUUCGAGAGGUUUCGCCGAGGGAGCGGAGCGGAGAUGCGCGUUCACUGCGAGCGCGAGCCCUGACAGAUGCCCACAUUUGGAGCACAGAUCUCGGCACCCCAACUAUUUCAGGUUACAAGAAACAGCUGUUGGGAGUCUGACCCCCUGCCCUCCUGCUCUCUGAACGGCACAAUACGCAUGCUGGGUGUGGGGGGGUGGAUGUAAAGAAGUCGAGAACGUUGAGUUAAACAACAUUUUUUUUUGUUUUUUUUUUACUUGCUGAAACAACCGCGCGAGGCACAAGGAAGGAGCUCCACACACACUUCUUCGCGUGCUUCCCAACGCGCUCCCGCACUUUUGCGUCUCGCGCCACCGGUAGCUGCGCGAGAAUGUGGACGACGUAGUUACCGCUGCACGUCCUUCCGCAAAACCAAGCGGUUAGCGCGACGGCCGCCCGGCGAAGCGAGCUUCGCGAACGCGGACAAGUCGCUUUGGCACAAAAUGAGCUACGACGCACGUCAGGCGCGUUGAGCGCGCGAGCGGCUCCCCGGAGCACGAGAAAACAGCCUUUUUGAGUUCGGCUGCUGAGCCUGCAAACUCUUCAAAAACUGUCAGAGUUCCCUGAGGAAAACGUUACCCCCUUGAAAGCUUCGUUUCCCUCAAAAAGACUGCCGAGUGUGUGAACUCGAGAGAAGCUGCUCCCCUCUUACCCGGGCCCAAGGUAAACCCGCACGGGCACAGUGGAAUCCCUGAAGUCCCAUUAGAUACCGGCCCACCGUGGCCAAAGCAUCCUGGCUUGAAGUGGGGUUGGAAAGAUGGUCCUUUGCACAUGUUUUCCUCUCAUUGGCUUGGGGUCCGAGGCUGCCAUCAAUACAGCCCUUUGGAGGAGGUAUAUAUAGACACCUUCUUUAGAGACUGGCUUACAUUAGUCCAAACCAGACCGGAGUGA